AAGGUUUCAGAGCGUUUCAUUUGUAACCACAGUGCAUUUUGCAUUAUUGUAUAUAAGGCAGAGAGAGGUGAUACGGACAUCUUUGAGCCAUUUCAAACCCCAGAACAACAGGGAGCCACAGGGAAUACUUCACCCAGGUCUUACCUCCUGGCUGGCUUUGGUGGAGAGACAUAAUCAAGCUAUAGAAGGCCCACAGUCUGGCAAAGAGAUGGAUGUGGCUGUUCAAUGCCAAUGGGAUUGAGUUGGUGUUUCCAGCCUGCUUUUACCCACCACAGUCCCAUGGAGCCUUCUUGGCCCUGCAGCUGGACUGGGAGCACAGAGGAUUGCACUGCAUUUGGACUAGCUGAGCUUUGAAGGUCCCUUCCAACCCAAACUGUUCUAUUCCUCAUCCUUACAGAACUGGGUCCCCUGGAUCCUAUUCUCCCAUGACGGAUAAUCGAUUUGGUUUGUCAGGGGAGAGCUGUUGGUAAGUGCUGGGGAAUAAGGUGCAGUUUCUCACUGGGAGAGGCUUGGAGAGGUAACACACAAAUGUGUUUUGGGAGGGCUGCUUGUCUCAGCUGGCGUAGAGAGUGGUUGUUGUGAUUGAUAGGAUGGGUGGUGAGCAUCCAGACAUAAGCAGUGUUGUGCAUGGAAGCAUGGGUCACUCACCUCUUUGGGGCUCUUGGCACCAGGAUUUUGUUCCUGAAACAGGAUGGGAUCCCAGAGCAAUAAUGCCAGGAUGGGAAAUGUCGCAGUCUCUGCAAACCAAAGCAAGGAAGUGGAAUAAUGGGCCUGAUUUCCCCCUGUGGAUAGGAGAGCAAGGGAUGCCAGUGCUCCCCAGCAGAGCUGGUCAUCGUGGGAGAUGUACAAGGAUCAACCAUGAACACCCCAACAUUCAUUAAGGAGCCAACACAGGCACCCUUUGUCCUCAACUCAUCAGACCCUCAGGGGGAAAGCAUUUAGGAAAAGCUUUACCAAAACCUGGUAGUUUGAUAGUGGGUUUGAUAUAUGGAUGGGAAUGAAGCAUUUAACUGUGCAGGUCAAAUGGAACACCCACCCUGGGGUGCACAAGCCCAGAACCAACUUCAUCACUCAAGCUUUUGGGGUAGGGAUACUUGAGCAGCCAGGCCUCAGCAGCAAGGACAGAGCUUUACAGCUGCAUAUUGUCCAUAUUCUAUGAUUCUAUGGCUGUGAGCUGCCCUGUGCAAGCUGGGUGCUGUUACAGUACUGAGUAACAAGGGAUUUCAUGCUCA
RNAcentral lists this long non-coding RNA (1232 nucleotides) under Strigops habroptila (Kakapo). RNAcentral's name for it is "lncRNA (ENSSHBG00005020095.1)". Lineage: Eukaryota; Metazoa; Chordata; Aves; Psittaciformes; Psittacidae. The record is from RNAcentral.